UACGUAGGGUGCGAGCGUUAAUCGGAAUUACUGGGCGUAAAGCGUGCGCAGGCGGUCCGCAAAGUCUGAUGUGAAAGCCCCGGGCUCAACCUGGGAACUGCAUUGGAAACUAACGGGCUCGAGUGUGGCAGAGGGGGGUGGAAUUCCACGUGUAGCAGUGAAAUGCGUAGAGAUCGGGAGGAACAUCCGUGGCGAAGGCGACUACCUGGACCAGCACUGACACUGAGGCACGAAAGCGUGGGGAGCAAACAGG
RNAcentral lists this ribosomal RNA (253 nucleotides) under uncultured bacterium. Its description in RNAcentral is "partial 16S ribosomal RNA". It matches the Rfam family "Bacterial small subunit ribosomal RNA", at positions 524 to 776 of the family's 1533-position model. The record is from RNAcentral.